RNAcentral lists this long non-coding RNA (2265 nucleotides) under Fukomys damarensis (Damara mole-rat). RNAcentral's name for it is "lncRNA (ENSFDAG00000032627.1)". The record is from RNAcentral. Lineage: Eukaryota; Metazoa; Chordata; Mammalia; Rodentia; Bathyergidae.
AUGCCCCGGGACGGAGGCUGUCCCAGAAGCCACAGCCCCAAGCCGCCGGUUCGCCUCUGGGAACAAGACCAGCAAACGCCCACAAAAAUGUUCCACACUCAGCAAGCCGCGAAGUCUACCCUUUCUGCGUUUUUAGAAUUUUGUUUAUUUCUCUUGGUUGUCUGGGUGCAAACGGACUCCUUUCUCUUCUCAAAUCGCUCCCGGCUGGUGCAGUCCAGGCAGCCCCACCCGUCUGUCACCCACCGCAGAGCCAAACCGCACUCCUCCCCGGGGGCCAGCAUCGCCCCGCCAGCGCAGCCUGGUCUCCUUUCCUCUCCUCCCAGCAAACACCUCAGGAGGUGCCAGCCCGCUCCACGCAUCAUCCAGGCCAAUGCCACACUUCAGCGUAACACCACUGUUCUGUCCAACGGGAGAAUCGACCCACACAGCCCAGGCAGCGGUGGGUUAGUUCGAAGGACCGCUGCGCAGGUGGGCAGACUGCAUCGAGGCCAGUUCCACACUCACGACCAGCGGAGGACAGCGGAGAGUGCCCGGCCCCACCCCGUGACACCCAGGGCAGCUGUCGGCUCUGAGCAGCUCUUGGCUGACCUCACCUCGUGUGUGUGUGUGUGAGAUUAAACCAGAGGCCUGUAGGACUGGAAGGACCCCGGGCGUGCUGCGUGUGUGCAGAGAGAUGUGCAUUGAGGAACCCUGGACACUUCCAGAGCAGAAGUGAUAAACCCGCCCCCAACCCCAUCACCCAAGCUCCCAGAUGCCCAUCCAGUGGUUGGGGGGGCAGCAAGUCACCGCCCCACUGUUGGAGGGGCACGGCCCUGGAAUAUAGAGAAUAUUACUGACCCCUGUCCUGACUCAACCUCCUGGGCCAGACGUUCAAUUGACAGGAGCAUAAGAAGUCUGUGAAGCCAAGCAGGGUGGCGCAGGCUUAUAAGCCUGGUGCUCUAGUAGGCUGAGGCAGGAGGGUCUCAAGUUGGAGCCCGACCCGGGCAACUGAGCAACUUAAGAUCUUGUGUCAAAUGUAAAAAGUAAAAAUAAGAAAAGAAUGGGGAUAUAGCUCAGUGCAGAGGCCCUGGGUUCAAUCCCCAGUACUGAAGAGAAAAAGAGAGAGAGAGAGGAGAGAGAGAAGAGCUGUGAGGACCCAGAGUGCAGACCUGCUCCUGGCAGGACAGUGGGGUCCGGGACUGGAAGACACCUGACCCCAGUGGCAGCCCUGGGCCCAGGAAACCUGAAGGAGGGGACCCCAAGCCAUGUUCCCGGGAACACCUCAGUCCCCAAGGGGACUUGGAGCCUGGAGCAGAACACAGGUGAGAGCCCAGAGGGUGCCAGCCCUUGGCCCCAGGCCACAAGUGCAGUGUGCGUGUGUGUGUGUGUGUGUGUGUGUGCGUGUGUGUGCGUGUGUGUGCGCACAGGUGUGCGUGAGCUGGGCCUUCUUCAUGCAAAGACAGAUCCAGCCUGGGAGUCCAGAAGCCAGGGCCGUACACCAGCUCGGCUGCUAAUUCACAAGGUAACAGGAAGUUCGUGUCCCACUGAUAGCUCACUUCCCUCAUCUUUAAAAUGGGUUGAGUCUGUUUUCUUCCUUUCUUUGUUUUUUGAGCCAAAGUUUCACUCUGUAGUUCAGGCUGGCCUUGAGUUCACUUAUGUAGCCCAGGCUGGCUUCGAACUCACUGUGAUUCUCCUGCCUCAGCCUCCCGAGUGCUGUUGGGAAUCACGUGGCCGUCUCGGAAGAGUUCUAAGAACUUGGUUGUGCCUCUGAGUCCUCAGAGGAGGAACCGAAGAUGCAGCCAGCAAGCCCAGGAGAGGUCUGGUGCAAAGGUUGGAGAGACACACGAACUCAGUGCAGAUCUUUCAAUGUGCAAAAUCACAAGCCAGCAGUCGCAGGCCGCACCCCAAAGGCGGUGCUGGUUCUCACACCUCGGUUUCCAAGGGUUCAAAGCAGAGUUCAGCAAGAGCUCUGGGGGCACCAUGUGAAGGGAUGCCAGCCGAGUGUGGGGGCGCAGCCUGCAGUCCCGGCCUUUGGGAGGCAGGAGGAUCACCACAAGCUCCAGGCCAGCCUGGACUGCAUCUCAAGACUCUCUGAAAAGCAAAAUGAAACCAAGAAACUGGUGGUCCUGCCUGUCUUUUCAGCCCCUUCCCUCCAACCUGAUCCCAGCCUCCACAUCACACGAGGCCCCUGGUGACCGCACACUGCCCCCUAUUCCACUCUCCGGGGGCCAUGCAGCAGCCCAUUCCAGCCCCAAGAGCAGGACACAGGCGUUACCCCUUAGGGGG